AACUGAUACUACCUGCGGGAACCUGCGGAGGGAUCAUUAUAGAGUUUUUAACUCCCAAACCCAUGUGAACUUACCUUUGUUGCCUCGGCGGAGCCUACCCGGUACCUACCCUGUAGCGCCCCGCCGGUGGACUUCUAAACUAUUGUUAUUUUAAUGAUAUCUGAGAGUCUUAUUUUAAUAAGUCAAAACUUUUAACAACGGAUCUCU
This 207-nucleotide unclassified non-coding RNA is filed under the name soil metagenome. RNAcentral's name for it is "partial contains 5.8S ribosomal RNA, internal transcribed spacer 2, and large subunit ribosomal RNA". The record is from RNAcentral.